RNAcentral lists this ribosomal RNA (400 nucleotides) under uncultured bacterium. RNAcentral's name for it is "bacterial SSU rRNA". It matches the Rfam family "Bacterial small subunit ribosomal RNA", at positions 357 to 778 of the family's 1533-position model. The record is from RNAcentral.
GGGGCUAGGGCAUGGGCGCAGCCUGAUGCAGCCAUGCCGCGUGAGUGAUGAAGGCCUUCGGGUUGUAAACCUCUUUCGCGGGGACGAUGCUGACGGUACCCGCAGAACAAGCCCCGGCUAGCUCCGUGCCAUCAGCCCCGGUAAUACUAAGGGCGCUAGCGUUGUUUUGAAUUACUGGGCGUAACGUGCUCGUAAGCUAUUCGGCUUAUCGGGUGUGAAAUCGCCGGGCUCAACCUCGGAAGUGCCCUCCAGACUGAACCGCUGGAGUUCGGUAGAAGCGGGUGGAAUUCCGUGUGUAGAGGUGAAAUGCAAAUUAUAUUGGGAGGAACGCCAUUGGCGAAGGCGGGGCGGUGGCCCGGUGCUGACGCUGAGGUGCGGAACCGUGGGGGACGAACAGGAU